This 250-nucleotide ribosomal RNA is filed under the name uncultured bacterium. Its description in RNAcentral is "partial 16S ribosomal RNA". It matches the Rfam family "Bacterial small subunit ribosomal RNA", at positions 524 to 773 of the family's 1533-position model. The record is from RNAcentral.
UACGUAGGUGGCAAGCGUUGUCCGGAUUUACUGGGUGUAAAGGGCGCGUAGGCGGGAUGGCAAGUCAGAUGUGAAAUGCCGAGGCUUAACCUCGGCACUGCAUUUGAAACUGCUGUUCUUGAGUAUCGGAGAGGCAGGCGGAAUUCCUAGUGUAGCGGUGAAAUGCGUAGAUAUUAGGAGGAACACCAGUGGCGAAGGCGGCCUGCUGGACGACAACUGACGCUGAUGCGCGAAAGCGUGGGGAGCAAAC